This is a non-coding RNA of Favolaschia claudopus, 84 nucleotides long. The record is from the annotation of a GenBank genome assembly. Lineage: Eukaryota; Fungi; Basidiomycota; Agaricomycetes; Agaricales; Mycenaceae.
GCUUCCUUGGCUCAGCCGGUAGAGCGUCAGUCUCAUAUAGAUCGAACUAUCUGAAGGUCGUGAGUUCGAGCCUCACAGGGAGCA